Molecule: ribosomal RNA, 503 nt
Filed under: uncultured bacterium
Lineage: Bacteria
Description: partial 16S ribosomal RNA
Rfam family: Bacterial small subunit ribosomal RNA
Source: RNAcentral
AUUGAACGCUGGCGGCAGGCUUAACACAUGCAAGUCGAGCGGGGUGAUGGUGCUUGCACUAUCACUUAGCGGCGGACGGGUGAGUAAUGCUUAGGAAUCUGCCUAUUAGUGGGGGACAACAUCUCGAAAGGUAUGCUAAUACCGCAUACGUCCUUCGGGAGAAAGCAGGGGAUCACUUGUGACCUUGUGCUAAUAGAUGAGCCCUAGUCGGAUUAGCUAGUUGGUGGGGUAAAGGCCUACCAAGGCGACGAUCUGUAGCGGGUCUGAGAGGAUGAUCCGCCACACUGGGACUGAGACACGGCCCAGGCUCCUACGGGAGGCAGCAGUGGGGAAUAUUGGACAAUGGGGGGAACCCUGAUCCAGCCAUGCCGCGUGUGUGAAGAAGGCCUUAUGGUUGUAAAGCACUUUAAGCGAGGAGGAGGCUCUUUUGGUUAAUACCCAAGAUGAGUGGACGUUACUCGCAGAAUAAGCACCGGCUAACUCUGUGCCAGCCGCCGCAGUAA